Molecule: non-coding RNA, 168 nt
Filed under: unclassified sequences
Description: radC RNA
Rfam family: radC RNA (bases 23-168)
Source: RNAcentral
ACCGCGCGAACGGGGCUGUUGAUGCUUUGCCCCAAGCAUCGCUGAUCUGUCAGCGCCCGCCCAGGCAGUCAGGGUCUUCGAGGCUGCGCCGCGUGCUCCCGCACGCCGACCCGGCCCGUCCGCUUCGCAUCGCCUGCGCGGACACGCGCCCCCCAAGGUCGCGGAUGC